Molecule: long non-coding RNA, 1131 nt
Organism: Amphiprion ocellaris (clown anemonefish)
Lineage: Eukaryota; Metazoa; Chordata; Actinopteri; Pomacentridae
Exons: 2
Source: RefSeq, a predicted model, not a curated record
UAUUCAGGUGUGCAGCGGUGGAGCUUCCUGUCCUCCGCUCCCUGCUUGCUUCCGUGGUGGCUGUGGUUUGGCAUGACGGCGUUGGUGGACGCAGCCGUUCUCUGGUGUAUCCAGCUGUUGUGAUUGCCGUCAAGGCAUGCUGUCUGAAUACCGUGGCUGAGUGCUGGGGUGAAUUCCCCGGGGUGAAGCGGGGAUCUGCUGGAGCCCUGCUGGGCAUAGGAUCACAGGCUCGCUCUGGGUGUGUGUGAGCCGUAUUCUUGUGGCUCACACCCUCCAGUUGCCAGGUACGUGACGGGUUGGUUUCCCCAGCCGCUAUUCUGAUUUUAUGUAAUGAGUUUUUUAACUCAGUGUUAUUUUUCUUUCCAGUUAACAGCCCGGCAUAAUCGGACUGCCACCAUCACUUCAAGCUGAGCUGCUGUUUUGGUUCUCUUUAAUAUUUGUUUGGUGAACUGUUUAUGUUUUUUUCAUUCAGUUGUUUGCGGCGGCUUGGAGCGGACUUCUCAGCCCAGUACGGCUGAGUGCCGUCUGCGUCCGCUCCGUGCAGAGGCUGGUUGUGUUGCUGCUGUGCCAGAACUUGUACAGCUGCAAGGGCUACUUCACUUGAUGGUGUUUUGUUUUCUUUGUUAUUUGGAAAUUAAUUCAGGUAUUUCCUUUUGGUGUCUUGGUUUGCUUUGUUGCAUUACUUUAAUUGUGUUUUUGUUAUUUUCUUUGUGAGUUUAUUUAGCCUCAUGUAUUGAUUUAAUUCAUCAUUUAUUGUUCUUUGGUUUUGUUUUCUUUUUUCCACACCAGUUAUGGUUAGUUUGGGCACGUUUUAUUAAUCUUUGUCUCUGUCUUCUGUGUACAGGUGCUGUGGCUUACUGUGGCAGUUAUUUCCUGCUGGUGGUGUCUUCUUCACGGUCCCCCCUUUCUUUUGGUUUUGUGUGUGUAUUAUUUGCAGUGUCACGGGUGAUUCAUUUGAGGAUUCCUCUCCCCUUUUUGGUUGUCCUGCCACAGGUUAAGCCCCAGCCUGGGUUUUUUUUUUUUUUUUUUAAUUCCUUGUUGCCCAUUCUUUCUUUUAGUUAGUAUAUGUUAACUGCUGUGUGACAUUAUUUCCUUCCUCACAAAUUGUUAAUAAACAUUGUUAAAUUUGAA